GUAUUAUUAAAUUAGAAAAUCUGAUUGUAACCUUAAAUAUCUCUAAAAUUAGAGAGGUACUAGUCUUGUUUUACUUUGUGAUGUUCAAACCUUCCUUUAAAGUACUGGGGUCUUCUGCCUUGGAUUUAGACUUUCCUGAUAACCCACCCUUGGGAUCCUUAGAACAGAUAGCCAGAGUACCAUGCCCUCACUAUGCAGAGCCUAUGCCCUUAAUCAGCGGGAAGCAGAUACAGAAGAAUGACUUCCUCCCACAUCAAGCCUUAAGGAUAAGGGAUGGAAAUCUUUAAGCUGGGGGAAUGAGACAGGAAUAAUACAGGAUGAUCACAGAUUAGGAAAAUUCCAGGCAGCAGUUUCAAAUGACUAGCAAAAAGAAACUGUUAAAAUAGCUGCAGAGCCAGCGGGCUGAUAAGACCCUGAAAAACCGGGUGUGUACCAAGCUGGCUAAGACCAAAUGAACCAAAUAGUUGGUUUGGUUCUGGAUUUGCGCUAGGUUUCACCUAGGACCUCAUUAUACACCCGUUAACAUACAAAUCACACACCCACCACUGCCAUGGCACUUCCGGGCACACCCAUAUUUGGUGUAAAAAUGAGUGACACCACAGUUCUGAGAAACCUUUACCUUUUUCCAGGAAUCUUCAUGAAUAUUCCACCCCUUGGUUAAAGACACCAUGAAGAUAGGAACCCCAGCCCCCUUGCAUGAUUCUCUCUUGAGUACACCCCACUCCCCUUUCUUGAGUGUGUACUUUUGCUUUGCAACAAGAACAAGUCUGUACUUUUACUUUAAAAAAAAA
Long non-coding RNA from Sapajus apella (tufted capuchin), 791 nucleotides. RefSeq lists it as uncharacterized. NCBI's taxonomy places the organism in Eukaryota, Metazoa, Chordata, Mammalia, Primates, Cebidae. The record is from RefSeq and is a predicted model, not a curated record. The transcript has 2 exons.